AAGAAAGUAGAGAAGGGCGUACGGGGGAUGCCUAGGCUCUUAUAGGCGAGGAAGGACGUGUUAAGCUGCGAUAAGCUUGGGGGAUUCGCAAAAAGGAAUUGAUCCCGAGAUUUCCGAAUGGGGCAACCCGGUUGGUUGAAGACCAAUCACACUGAAAAGUGAGCAAACCCACUGAACUGAAACAUCUAAGUAAGUGGAGGAGAAGAAAGAAACAUCGAUUCCCAGAGUAGUGGCGAGCGAAAUGGGAAUAGCCUAAACCGGUAUUGUUACGGCAAUAUCGGGGUUGUAGGACUACAAUAUGAAGCAGACAAUGAACGAGAACACAACUGGAAAGUUGGACGAUAUAGGGUGAUAGUCCCGUAUUGGUAAGUUGGAUGUGGAUAGUAGUAUCCUGAGUAGGGCGGGACACGUGAAAUCCUGUCUGAAUCCGCGGGGACCACCCCGCAAGGCUAAAUACUGAUAAGAGACCGAUAGUGAACCAGUACUGUGAAGGAAAGGUGAAAAGUACCCCGAGCAGGGGGGUGAAAAAGAACCUGAAACCGUACGCUUACAACCUGUUGGAGCCACUUCGUGUGGUGACAGCGUGCCUUUUGCAUAAUGAGCCUACGAGUUACUCAUCACUGGCAAGGUUAAGAACUUAGAGGUUCGGAGCCGAAGCGAAAGCGAGUCUGAAUAGGGCGCAAUAGUCAGUGGUGGUAGACGCGAAACCUUGCGAUCUACCCUUGGCCAAGAUGAAGGUGAGGUAGAACUCACUGGAGGUCUGAACCGGUAAACGUUGAAAAGUUUUCGGAUGAGCUGAGGGUAGGGGUGAAAGGCUAAUCAAGCUGGGAAAUAGCUCGUACUCCCCGAAAUGCCUUUAGGGGCAGCGUUGAUGUAGUUUACCGGAGGUAGAGCUACUGGUUGGAUGCGGGGGCUUCACCGCCUACCAAAUCCUGUCAAACUCCGAAUGCCGGUUAAAUGGUCAUCAGCAGUGAGCCAUUGGGUGCUAACGUCCAAUGACGAGAGAGGAAGAACUCAGACCAUCAGUUAAGGUCCCCAAACAUACACUAAGUUGAUAGAACGAUGUCCGGUUGCAGCGACAGCUAGGAAGUUAGCUUGGAAGCAGCUAUUCUUUUAAAGAGUGCGUAACAGCUCACUAGUCGAGCGACUGGGCGUGGAUAAUAAACGGGCAUCAAGUGUAUUACCGAAGCUAUGGACUCUGUAAAGAGUGGUAGGGGAGCAUUCUAUCGCCGUAGAAGCCGUAUCGUGAGAUAUGGUGGAGGUUAUAGAAAAGCAAAUGUAGGCAUAAGUAACGAUAAGGCGGGCGAGAAACCCGCCCACCGUAAGACCAAGGUUUCCUUUGCAAUGUUAAUCAGCGAAGGGUUAGUCGGGACCUAAGGCUAAGUCGAAAGGCGAUGUCGAUGGACAAUCGGUUAAUAUUCCGAUACCGGCUAUAUUGGUGAUGGAGAGACCCGGAAACGUAAGUGUCGCCAACUGACGGAAUAGUUGGUUAAAGGGCGUAGUUAUAGGUGGAUGUUAAUAGCAUCCGUUUGAUGAGACCUGACAGUACAGUGAGCCUUCGGGCGAGCUGAUAGUGCACCCAAGUCUGCCGGCAAGAAAAUCUUCUAAACAUAACAGUAUAGCAGCCCGUACCGUAAACCGACACAGGUGGUCGAGGAGAGUAUCCUAAGGUGCUCGAGUGAAUCACGGCUAAGGAACUAGGCAAAAUAACUCCGUAACUUCGGGAAAAGGAGUCCUCCGCGAGGAGGCGCAGCGAAGAGAUCCAGGCGACUGUUUAACAAAAACACAGGGCUAUGCAAAUUCGAAAGACGACGUAUAUGGCCUGACACCUGCCCGGUGCUGGAAGGUUAAGAGGGGAUGUUAUCGCAAGAGACGCAUUGAAUCGAAGCCCCAGUAAACGGCGGCCGUAACUAUAACGGUCCUAAGGUAGCGAAAUUCCUUGUCGGGUAAGUUCCGACCUGCACGAAUGGUGUAACGAUCUGGAUGCUGUCUCAGCCGUGAGCUCGGUGAAAUUGUAGUCCCGGUGAAGAUGCCGGGUACCCGCAACGGGACGGAAAGACCCCGUGAACCUUUACUGCAGCUUCGCGCUGGAUUUGGGUGCAAAAUGUGUAGGAUAGGCAGGAGACUAUGAAGCGGCGUCGCUAGGUGUCGUGGAGUCAGCGUUGAAAUACUGCCCUUUUUGUAUUUGGAUCCUAACCCAUAACUGGGGACACCGCGUGGUGGGUAGUUUGACUGGGGUGGUCGCCUCCAAAAGCGUAACGGAGGCUUUCAAAGGUACCCUCAAUACGAAUGGUAACCGUAUGUAGAGUGCAAUGGCACAAGGGUGCUUGACUGCGAGACCGACGGGUCGAACAGGUGCGAAAGCAGGACAUAGUGAUCCGGUGGUUUCCGAGUGGAAGGGCCAUCGCUCAAAGGAUAAAAGGUACUCCGGGGAUAACAGGCUGAUCGCUCCCAAGAGCUCAUAUCGACGGAGCGGUUUGGCACCUCGAUGUCGGCUCGUCACAUCCUGGGGCUGGAGAAGGUCCCAAGGGUUCGGCUGUUCGCCGAUUAAAGUGGCACGCGAGCUGGGUUCAGAACGUCGUGAGACAGUUCGGUCCCUAUCUGUUGCGGGCGUAGGAAUUUUGAGGGGUUCUGUUUUUAGUACGAGAGGACCGAAAUGGACUGACCUCUGGUUUACCGGUUAUGUCGCCAGAUGUACCGCCGGGUAUCCAAGUCGGGACGGGAUAAGCGCUGAAAGCAUCUAAGCGCGAAGCCCACCCCAAGAUAAGAAUUCCCUUGAGGGUCGUAGCAGACUACUACGUUGAUAGGCUACAGGUGUACGCAUAGUGAUAUGUUCAGCCGAGUAGUACUAAUCGCCCGAGAGUCUUUCUUCG
Molecule: ribosomal RNA, 2873 nt
Organism: Mucinivorans hirudinis
Lineage: Bacteria; Pseudomonadati; Bacteroidota; Bacteroidia; Bacteroidales; Rikenellaceae
Rfam family: Bacterial large subunit ribosomal RNA
Source: Rfam